GCCCGCGUAGCUCAAUGGAUAGAGCAACGGACUUCGGAUCCGUUGGUUGGGGGUUCGAGUCCCUCCGCGGGCG
RNAcentral lists this transfer RNA (73 nucleotides) under Chloroflexota bacterium. RNAcentral's name for it is "Chloroflexi bacterium (hydrothermal vent metagenome) tRNA-Arg". It matches the Rfam family "tRNA". Rfam says of the family: Transfer RNA (tRNA) molecules are approximately 80 nucleotides in length. Their secondary structure includes four short double-helical elements and three loops (D, anti-codon, and T loops). RNAcentral also lists the same sequence under 1 other name. The record is from RNAcentral. Lineage: Bacteria; Bacillati; Chloroflexota.